AAGUCGUAACAAGGUUUCCGUAGGUGAACCUGCGGAAGGAUCAUUAAACCACUAGGAUUUCCUAGUUCAGGGGGCCUUGAAGCUGAAAAGUGUAAAGAGGCCCCCGUCUGCACCCUUGUCUAUUGCGCACUCUUGUUUCCUCGGCGGGCUUGCCCGCCGAUAGGACAACUUCAACCCUUUUAAUUUUAAAUCAGCGUCUGAAAACUAUAAUAUUUACAACUUUCAACAACGGAUCUCUUGGUUCUG
This 246-nucleotide unclassified non-coding RNA is filed under the name fungal sp. RNAcentral describes it as "partial internal transcribed spacer region". The stretch from base 1 to 46 matches the Rfam family "Eukaryotic small subunit ribosomal RNA", at positions 1786 to 1831 of the family's 1831-position model. The record is from RNAcentral. Lineage: Eukaryota; Fungi.